GCGCAGCGGAAUCCGGAACCAGAUAAGAACGUCGAUACGUUCAGUACCCGUCUAGCAAAAUCAUCUAGAUCAGCGAUCACCGAUCUAGCAGGUCAGAGCAUCCAAGAGAUCAGCGCUAAGGUUGUCCCUCCUUGUAAACGGGAGGUCGUCGGUUCGAUCCCGACCGGGGGCU
This 172-nucleotide transfer RNA is filed under the name Actinoplanes lobatus. RNAcentral describes it as "tRNA-Ala". The record is from RNAcentral. Lineage: Bacteria; Bacillati; Actinomycetota; Actinomycetes; Micromonosporales; Micromonosporaceae.